This 389-nucleotide ribosomal RNA is filed under the name Hibberdia magna. Its description in RNAcentral is "partial small subunit ribosomal RNA". It matches the Rfam family "Eukaryotic small subunit ribosomal RNA", at positions 30 to 432 of the family's 1831-position model. Lineage: Eukaryota; Chrysophyceae; Hibberdiales; Hibberdiaceae. The record is from RNAcentral.
GCUUGUCUCAAAGAUUAAGCCAUGCACGUCUAAGUAUAAGCGAUUAUACUGUGAAACUGCGAAUGGCUCAUUAUAUCAGUUAUAGUUUAUUUGAUGGUCCUUGCUACUUGGAUAACCGUAGUAAUUCUAGAGCUAAUACAUGCAUAAAUCCCCGACUGCUUGGAAGGGGUGUAUUUAUUAGAUGGAAACCAAUGCGGGGUAACCCGGAAUAUGGUGAUUCAUAAUAACUUUCGGAUCGAUUUAUCGAUGCAUCAUUCAAGUUUCUGCCCUAUCAGCUUUGGAUGGUAGGGUAUUGGCCUACCAUGGCUUUAACGGGUAACGGAGAAUUAGGGUUCGAUUCCGGAGAGGGAGCCUUAAAAACGGCUACCACAUCCAAGGAAGGCAGCAGG